AAAACAGAUUUCCUAUUGAAAAUGCAUUUUUGUAGUUCAACAUUCAUUUUCUACAUAAAAUAGACCAUCCAUGUAAAAUUUGAUUUACUGGUGGAUAGAUCUAUGUUUAUGGAAGCUUCAUUAGCAAAAUGUUUUUGAAAUACGUUUUUAUAAUGAAUUUGUGCGUUUGUGAAUACCGGCAAGUAUGCAAAAAACAAUGGACAAGAUUUACUUUUGGAUUUAGGUGCUCCCGUUUCAAAAGGUAAGAAACAUAUUUUUUCUAUAUUAUCUAUGUAUAAAAUACACACUUACUAUUUAAAAAUGGUUGCUACACGCAUAAAAGAAAAAAAAAAGUGAAAGAAAUGGUUUGUUUGUCCUAAAUUUUGAAAAAACUAGUCCUGACAUCAUGUCCUAUUUUUAUCCAUCGCCAAAUACCCUGUACAUUAUUUUUAAAAUAACAUUUAAAAAUGAUCGAUUUUAGUUUUAAAAUACAUCUUUUUUUAUUUCAGUAAUAAUAAUGUAUUAUUAUUUUUAUUUUUGGUUAUUUAAAAAAAAUAUGUUUUUGUUUAAAUCUCGUUUUUUUUUAACCAAUCGGAAUGUCUAACGCCAAAAUCGAAGGUCAACCCAAUUUUUUCAACGUGUGUUUUAAAAAAGUUAUUCACUCAGAGAAACUCCGAGAGGCAACAUAUAGCAAAGGCAAUAGCUGAGUUUAGAUAGUACAGACAGUUUAGUUUAGAAUAUUAACUUCUUAGGUAAUUUUUAUGCUUUAGUAAUCAGUCCAUCGGCUUUGGUCAUUUGAAAGGUCACUAUUUUACGCCAUAGACUGUAACAACGCGUACGUAUGCGAGCGAGCGCCCGCAACCAUUACAACAAAUACAAAGACAGAGAUUAGUUGAAGAAAAUAAACAAAAAACAUCAUGCACCAUGCAACUCUUAAUUAAGUUAAGCCUAUUAUUAGGCCUAGAACUAGAUCUAUUUAUCUUUUAUUUAAUAUUAGAUCUUUUCUAGUCUGAAAUUGUACAUCAAUCUAAAAUUGUUAUUAAUAAUAUGUUAAGACACGAAGAAAAGAAAAAAAAAGUGACUUUUCAUGGUAGGGUGGGCCGAAGAGGGGGCUUAAUAUAUAUUAGUUAUAAAUACAUUUUAAAGUUGUUUGUUUGUUUUUUCAAAUGUUCUAUAAAUAUACUUUACUUUGUGACACAGUUUUAUGUUAAUAAUAUUGUGAAUUUGUGAAAUUCAUGGAAUAUUGGACAUAUCUUCUGUGAACGGUGGAUUUUUCAUUAUUAGGGGUAAGUGUGUUUGAUCUCAUUUUUUUAUGUUAAAUACUUGUCUGAUGGUAAUGAAUUUACUUUUUUUAGAUUCCUCUGUUCUUGUGCAUUAAAAUUGAUACAUAAUAUGUCAAAACUGAUAAUGGUUUUGUUAUUCAUGGUGAUGAUAAAGUAUUAUUUACAACCGAAUUUUUAACGUAGGUGGUGGGGUCUGAUGAGGCUCAAUUAAUAGGCAUAAAUGUUUUAAGAAACUAGUUUUUAUUGUUUUUUUUCAAAUGUUCUAUAAAUAUACUUUACUUUGUGACACAUUUUUCUGUUAAUAUUACUAUGAAUUUGUGAAAUUUAUGGAUUAUUGGACAUACCUUCUGUGAAUGAUGGAUUUGUCAUUAUAAGGGGUAAGUGUGUUUGACCUUAUAUUUUCAUUGGAAAUAAUUGUCUGCUGCUUCUGAUUUUAUUUUUUUUGAAUUCCUCUAUUCUUGGGCAUCAAAAAUGAUAUAUAAUAUGUCAAUAAAAGACAAUUUGAAAUUGGUCAAAAAAUUGGUCCCAAAAGUAGAAUGUUGAGAGCUCAAUCUGUUUUCCGCCUUAA
Biomphalaria glabrata is the source of this 1830-nucleotide long non-coding RNA. RefSeq lists it as uncharacterized. NCBI's taxonomy places the organism in Eukaryota, Metazoa, Mollusca, Gastropoda, Planorbidae. The transcript has 2 exons. The record is from RefSeq and is a predicted model, not a curated record.